RNAcentral lists this ribosomal RNA (431 nucleotides) under Amblyomma dubitatum. Its description in RNAcentral is "partial large subunit ribosomal RNA". The stretch from base 298 to 431 matches the Rfam family "Archaeal large subunit ribosomal RNA", at positions 2542 to 2676 of the family's 2987-position model. Lineage: Eukaryota; Metazoa; Arthropoda; Arachnida; Ixodida; Ixodidae. The record is from RNAcentral.
UUUUAAAUUGCUGUGGUAUUUUGACUAUACAAAGGUAUUGAAAUAAGACUUUAAUUGAGUGCUAAGAGAAUGGAAAUACAGAAAAAUUCUUUCUUAAAUUUAAAAAUUAAAGUUAUUUUUAUUUGUGAAGAAACAGUAAUAUUAAUUAAGGACAAGAAGACCCUAAGAAUUUUCUGAAAAAUUAAUUUUUUGAUUGAAAAUUUUCUUUAAUUGGGGCGAUUAAUAAAAAUUUAAAACUUUAUUUAAAUAAAAAAAAAUGAACCAAUAUUAUUGGUCAUAUGAAAAAAAUACUCUAGGGAUAACAGCGUAAUAAUUUUUGAUAGUUCUUAUAGACAAAAUAGUUUGCGACCUCGAUGUUGGAUUAGGAUACUUUUUUAAUGAAGAAGUUAAAAAAAGAAGUUUGUUCAACUUUUAAUUUCCUACUUGAUCUG